Molecule: long non-coding RNA, 514 nt
Filed under: Homo sapiens (human)
Lineage: Eukaryota; Metazoa; Chordata; Mammalia; Primates; Hominidae
Description: HSALNT0111329
Source: RNAcentral
CUGAAGCAGAAGAGAACAGGACAGACUUCACUGAGAUGAAACUAUGUGUGAGAGAGGCAGGCACUGGAAUCAUGUAGUGGAUCCUUAGUUCCCUCUCUAGGGCUGACAUACCCACCCUGCAGCUGCUGGGCACCUGGCACUGAUUGCUCACAGCUGGACUGGAAAUUGCCCUUCUGUCACAGCUUACGCAAGUUAUACUCCCUCCCGGGGUGGCCUGCGGUCAAUGACAGGCUGAUGCGAGGGUGGAGAGGAUACAAAGCCUGGACCCUCCCCCCACUUUGGGGACAUUUUGAAGGUCCCUCCCAGCACCAGUGUUUCCCCAGGAUCUACUGAGGGCUUCUGUUCCCACCACACUGCAGGAGCAAUCUUUUGAAAAUCUCCUUGGAAGGCACACUCAAUUCAAAGAUGACCAUGGGAAUGAUUGACCUAGCUUCCAAGAGAUUCAUUUGAUGUUUAGUUACAGGAUAUCCAUCGAUGACAACACUAACAAGGAAAAACAUGAAAAUAAAAAUUC